RNAcentral lists this unclassified non-coding RNA (189 nucleotides) under uncultured Piloderma. RNAcentral describes it as "sequence contains ITS1". Lineage: Eukaryota; Fungi; Basidiomycota; Agaricomycetes; Atheliales; Atheliaceae. The record is from RNAcentral.
UUGAAAUUAUAGGCGAGGGUUGUAGCUGGCCUCUCGGGGCAUGUGCACGCCCGAGCCCUUAAUCCACACACACCUGUGAACCUAUUGUAAGGGCCCGUGAAAAGGCCUUUACGUCUUUAUAAACCCAUCGUAUGUCUCAUAGAAUGUAAUUAUAUGUCCUCGCCUUAAAAAAGCGUUGAUAAACUUAUA